GGGAUAUAGUGAUUGCAUUACGCGGCACAUCCACGUGUCUUGAAUGGGCCGAGAACAUGAGAGCCCAUUUAGUUGAUAUGCCCGGAAAUCACGACCCUAUCCAUGGACAACCGAAGGUGGAGUGUGGAUUCUUGAGCCUACACAAAACCGGUGGAGCUCAUGUGCCAUGUCUAGCGGAAUCAGUGAUGGAAGAGGUAAAAAGGCUCAUGGA
This 211-nucleotide unclassified non-coding RNA is filed under the name Hevea brasiliensis (rubber tree). Lineage: Eukaryota; Viridiplantae; Streptophyta; Magnoliopsida; Malpighiales; Euphorbiaceae. The record is from RNAcentral.